RNAcentral lists this ribosomal RNA (497 nucleotides) under uncultured bacterium. RNAcentral describes it as "partial 16S ribosomal RNA". It matches the Rfam family "Bacterial small subunit ribosomal RNA", at positions 28 to 507 of the family's 1533-position model. The record is from RNAcentral.
GACGAACGCUGGCGGCGUGCCUAAUACAUGCAAGUUGAGCGCUGAAGGUUGGUCCUUGUACCAACUGGAUGAGCAGCGCACGGGUGAGUAACGCGUGGGGAAUCUGCCUUUGAGCGGGGGACAACAUUUGGAAACGAAUGCUAAUACCGCAUAAAAACUUUAAACACAAGUUUUAAGUUUGAAAGAUGCAAUUGCAUCACUCAAAGAUGAUCCCGCGUUGUAUUAGCUAGUUGGUGAGGUAAAGGCUCACCAAGGCGAUGAUACAUAGCCGACCUGAGAGGGUGAUCGGCCACAUUGGGACUGAGACACGGCCCAAACUCCUACGGGAGGCAGCAGUAGGGAAUCUUCGGCAAAGGAAGAAAGUCUGACCGAGCAACGCCGCGUGAGUGAAGAAGGUUUUCGGAUCGUAAAACUCUGUUGGUAGAGAAGAACGUUGGUGAGAGUGGAAAGCUCAUCAAGUGACGGUAACUACCCAGAAAGGGACGGCUAACUACGUG